RNAcentral lists this ribosomal RNA (355 nucleotides) under uncultured bacterium. RNAcentral's name for it is "bacterial SSU rRNA". It matches the Rfam family "Bacterial small subunit ribosomal RNA", at positions 1 to 334 of the family's 1533-position model. The record is from RNAcentral.
GUACUACUCUCAGAGUUUGAUCCUGGCUCAGGAUGAACGCUGGCGGCGUGCUUAACACAUGCAAGUCGAACGAAGCACUUAAGUUGAUUUCUUCGGAUUGAUUCUUAAGUGACUUAGUGGCGGACGGGUGAGUAACGCGUGGGUAACCUGCCUCGUACAGGGGGAUAACAGUUAGAAAUGACUGCUAAUACCGCAUAACCCGCUAGGAUCGCAUGAUCCGGACGGAAAAGAUUUAUCGGUACGAGAUGGACCCGCGUCUGAUUAGCUAGUUGGUGAGGUAACGGCCCACCAAGGCGACGAUCAGUAGCCGGCCUGAGAGGGUGAACGGCCACAUUGGGACUGAGACACGGCCCAA